CCUGAUUAGCUAGUUGGUGAGGUAAGGCUCACCAAGGCGACGAUCAGUAGCUGGUCUGAGAGGAUGAUCAGCCACACUGGAACUGAGACACGGUCCAGACUCCUACGGGAGGCAGCAGUGGGGAAUUUUGGACAAUGGGGGAAACCCUGAUCCAGCCAUUCCGCGUGAGUGAAGAAGGCCUUCGGGUUGUAAAGCUCUUUCAGGAGGGAAGAAACGGUUGCAGCUAAUACCUGCGACUAAUGACGGUACCUUCAGAAGAAGCACCGGCUAACUACGUGCCAGCAGCCGCGGUAAUACGUAGGGUGCGAGCGUUAAUCGGAAUUACUGGGCGUAAAGCGUGCGCAGGCGGUUUUGUAAGUCAGAUGUGAAAGCCCCGGGCUCAACCUGGGAACU
RNAcentral lists this ribosomal RNA (393 nucleotides) under uncultured bacterium. Its description in RNAcentral is "bacterial SSU rRNA". It matches the Rfam family "Bacterial small subunit ribosomal RNA", at positions 236 to 622 of the family's 1533-position model. The record is from RNAcentral.